CACGUAGGGGACGAGCGUUGUCCGGAUUUAUUGGGCGUAAAGCGCGCGCAGGCGGUCCUUUAAGUCUGAUGUGAAAGCCCACGGCUCAACCGUGGAGGGUCAUUGGAAACUGGGGGACUUGAGUACAGAAGAGAAGAGUGGAAUUCCACGUGUAGCGGUGAAAUGCGUAGAGAUGUGGAGGAACACCAGUGGCGAAGGCGACUCUUUGGUCUGUAACUGACGCUGAGGCGCGAAAGCGUGGGGAGCAAACAGG
This 253-nucleotide ribosomal RNA is filed under the name uncultured bacterium. RNAcentral's name for it is "partial 16S ribosomal RNA". It matches the Rfam family "Bacterial small subunit ribosomal RNA", at positions 524 to 776 of the family's 1533-position model. The record is from RNAcentral.